AUCUGGUGGUGUGGGCAGCUUGCACAAAGCUUCUUGAAUCUUUCCCAAUAUUCAUAUAAGCUCUCUCCACCAAAUUGCCUAAUCCCAGAUAUGUCUUUUCUGAUAGCU
Vigna angularis (adzuki bean) is the source of this 108-nucleotide small nucleolar RNA. It matches the Rfam family "Plant small nucleolar RNA R71". Rfam says of the family: R71 is a member of the C/D box family of snoRNAs containing the C (UGAUGA) and D (CUGA) box motifs. Multiple nearly identical copies of this snoRNA have been identified in Arabidopsis, and it is thought to function as a 2'-O-ribose methylation guide for 18S ribosomal RNA. NCBI's taxonomy places the organism in Eukaryota, Viridiplantae, Streptophyta, Magnoliopsida, Fabales, Fabaceae. The record is from Rfam.